RNAcentral lists this ribosomal RNA (301 nucleotides) under uncultured bacterium. RNAcentral describes it as "partial 16S ribosomal RNA". It matches the Rfam family "Bacterial small subunit ribosomal RNA", at positions 509 to 807 of the family's 1533-position model. The record is from RNAcentral.
CAGUAGCCGCGGUAAUACGGAGGGUGCAAGCGUUAAUCGGAAUUACUGGGCGUAAAGCGUGCGUAGGCGGUUCGUUAAGUCUGUUGUGAAAGCCCCGGGCUCAACCUGGGAAUGGCAAUGGAUACUGGCGAGCUAGAGUGUGUCAGAGGAUGGUGGAAUUCCCGGUGUAGCGGUGAAAUGCGUAGAGAUCGGGAGGAACAUCAGUGGCGAAGGCGGCCAUCUGGGACAACACUGACGCUGAGGCACGAAAGCGUGGGGAGCAAACAGGAUUAGAUACCCGUGUAGUCCCUGUCUCUUAUAC